CCAUAGUUGGAACAGCUUCCAGUUCCUCAAACUCACUGCAGUUUAACAUAAAAGGAACUUGAUGACCAAUUUAAGUAAUAAUUAGAUGAUAUAAGAGGUUAGGGAAAAUGAUGAGUGGACCCUUAUGGAAGAUGAUUUCACCUUAGCUAAACACGAAAAUAAAAUGAAAUCAAAGCUGAAUCCUCGAGUGCAAUGCAAAUAAUUUUUUCUCUCUCUUCUCUAACUCCUCUUAUUCGAAAUUGCUCAUCAUUGUGCAGUUCCUCGAGAUUUUGCUAGAAUAGAGAAAGCUAUUCUCCCGUUAAGUGCAGAGGAAAAAGAAGGGCAAGGGCCUGGUAUGAUGCUAUUCUAUAGGAAGUGAGAAGGUGAAGGGCUAAAAUAUUUUGCAAUUUGGAGGUGGUGUUUGUUAGUGUGUGUACUUCUGAAUUUAUUACCUCUUUAGGAUCCAUAGAAAUUGCCUCUUGUUCAGCAUGCACUGUGCCUACGAGUAAGGCGAGCUUGCAUGGUAUCUAUUGUCUAUUUACUUGGAUAUUCAAACAGGACUACCAGCAACCAAACACAAAUCCCCAAACAAAACACUCUUUCAAGUGCAAGGAAAGAGUAACUUGGGCAUAUUUAUGGUUCAAGCACUACCAUAACUAAGAAUGUGAUGCUGUCCACAAACACUAUAUCAGUGCCUUUUGAACUACAUCACAUGCUCGAAGACUUUUUUUUUAGUCAUACAUAAAUUAGCUAUAAAAUUAAGACCAUUAUACAACUAAAAAGAAAGAAAAAUUGUUUGCCACUACAUAUCAAAACUGGUAAUAGCAAUGUAAGAUGGCAGACUUCUUACUUAAACAGAUGAGAGGCUACAAAUAAAAAAUUUGUGCAAAUAAAAUAUAUGAUAAAGAGCAUAAUACCUUCUUGGGGGCUAAAAAUAAUAUACAACUUGUGAAAUAUAAAUUGAGCUACCAUUACCUUUUAGAUGUGGCAACUUUCGACUUUUGAGGCACCUUGGAAUAUGCAUUCAGAAUCCUGCAUUUGGAAACCAAAUAAACAACGUUAAUAACAAUUUUACAAUAGAAAAAUUAAAAAUUGAUAAAUGGCAGUUGUAAUUUAUGUAUGCGUAAAGAUAGCUUCACAUCCAGGGUCCUCCCAUAAACAUGCUUGUAACAAGAAUUAGUUUGCCUCAACUGCUAGCAACUAUACAAUAGUAAAAAUCACUCUUAUGAACUCAACAAUACUAGGCACCAAUAAGAGUAUGAUACAGCCAUUCUAAAUGGAAGAGAAUACAACUGUUUUACAACUAUGUUGCAUCAGGAGAUAUGUUAGGAGGAUUAAUCCAGAUACCUUCCAACCCAAUUAGGAAAACUCAAGGUCAGAAACCAGGAGCUGCAACCAAACCUUACAAUCUUGAAGGAAGAAGGAGACUUGGGGCAUUUUUCCAGAUAGGUGACUUACAAGAUCUCCUGCCAAGAAAAUAUCUACUGCUUCGAACCUCCAUUGAAAUUUCUUUUCCGUUUUUCUUGUUUUGACUUGGAACUUUCCAGCAUCAUCUAUUUGAUCUUUUUUAAAGCUAAAAUAGCAAUCUAUGGGUUGUCAACAUCUUACCCCCCCCCCCCCCCCCGGGGGGCCCCCAAAAAAAAAACCAAUGAGUUGUCAAUAAAUAGCGCCUACUCAACUUAUGUUCUCCAAUGGAUGACAAUGUGCAAAUCGACCUAGCAGCCACAUUUUUCCCCCCUUUAAACCACCAUUAGGCAACUUUUCUAACCUUUCUUUAUUGCCCACGUCUACAGAACUAUCAUAUAAAGACUACAUUAUUAUUGGGAUAGAGAAAAAAAUACAGACUAUAUUAUUAUUAUAUCUCAUUUUAUUAAUUAACUAGUGCAAGACUUAUUUAGUGUCAAAUCAAGAACUAAUUAGAAAAGACAACUCAUGAUAAUACAGACCUUAAAAAGCAAUAGCUAGGACCACCCCAUGUACUCCUAUUUUAGCCUUCAAUAUCCUGGUAAAAACACAAUUAAGUCUUGCAAAAGAACAUUCACAAGUAAAUUCAACAUUAAUUAAGAUUAAGUAUCUACUGCACCUUCAAUCAAUGACUGGGUGAAUAGCAUGGUCAACCAUCCAGUUCCUGUAGCCCUCCUUGUACCUAUGUUAGUUACAUUUUACAUAUUAAGACACGAAAAUGAAGGAUCACAGCCUGGUAAAGAAAGCCAUUAAUUAAUAGUUUUUGUUUAAAAAGUUCUCGUUUAGAUCUUUCCUAUUCAAUGAAUCAAUGUAAUCCAAGGAGAACUCUUCCAUUUCAAGCAGUGUUAGAAGAUAAUUGGAAAGCCUAAAGAUAAUAUACAAGGACCAAGAUAUCAAUUAGGUCAAAUAGUGAAUGUCAAAUAUAAAAAAUAAAUAAAAGAAGUUGUACAUGAUCAUUUACUAUCAAGUUCUGUAAAACUGAAAAUACCAUUAUCCCUGUAGAGAUUCUCAAACAACUCUUUAGCAAAUUAUAAAAUAAUUAAAAAAAGAACGAAAGUUUAAAAAAAAAAAAUGUACAACAGCCAUAUCAGGAGAUGUUUUUCUUCUCAAUCUCAAUAUUUUCUAGCCGUAAAACAAUUGAAAAGCUUAACACCAAGUGAAUUAUUAAGAAUUCAUCAUUUAAAUUCCCAAAUCGCGAAAUGUUGGUGCAACUAGGAAAGUGCAAAUGCAAUCACUUUACUAACACAAGAAACAUCAAUAGUGAGAAGCCAACUUUGUAUCAAAUUUGAAACAGAUAGAUAGAGGUCAAAAAAAUUAUAAAGACACUCAAUUAAAAGCCUUUCAAACAGCUUUUGCAUGCAACAAGAACAAAUCAAAGGCGAUGUGAAUGUAUUGAAAGACUAAUUUACAAUCAUCUACAGGACAUAAAUAUCUUGGAUAACUACUCUCUAUACCCUACUGUCCCACUGAAAAUCAUCAAAUCCCUCCAAACAAAAAUGACAAAAUGGAUAAGAAUUGUGUGGUCAAACUUCAAUAACUUAGCAGCCAGAGCAAAAACUUAUGUAGACACGCAAGCCACUCAAAAUAGUCAUAUUGUUUGCUUUCCAAACACAAGCCACUUUGUAAUGAAUAUUCAUAAAUUGCUACUACCAUGUUUGUUAAAACACGUGAAAACUACCAUCACUAACUAAAUGUAACUAAUGAUCAUCAUCACGUUCAUGGAAUCACAUGUCUGACAGUAUUAAUUAGUGCAAAUGGCAUGCUUCUUAAAACUCCUUAUUUAUCACAUGGGCGCCAUUCCAAUCAACCAAUGAUUCUGAUCUAGUCAGCAUAUUCAACCUACGAGCCAGUAAUACCUCCAUUGCUUCUUUAGAUUUCUCAACAAAAUUCCACAUUCUAACCAUACUUCUGAACUUGUUGCUCCCAUAGACUAAUACAAUAUAAAGAUUUCUUCCCACACCACCUCAGCCCCCACUCCUAAAAAACCAAUUUAAAUUCUCAUUGACUGUACAACCUAUAGUCCAUACCAAAUUGAAAAACUUACAAAUAUAGAACCUCAAAGAAUCUUCUUGCGUUCCAUUUUUUACAGCAAGAAAAUUGACUUUUACCACAUGCAAGUCAACAAAUAAAACAAUCAUGUCUUUGUGAGAUGCACAUUUUCAGACGAAUCUGAAGAACAAUGAAACCAUAAAAACCUAAUAUGAGAACACUGAGGACUCCAGAUAUCAUCUAUAGAAUCUUUGGUCCACCCUUGCAUAAUGAAAAAAAAUUGAAGGCUUCGUCACCAACUCCCCAGGUUGUUUUGUUCUCCUAUCUCCUAAAUCUAAAGGAAAGGCAACCCGUUCAUUUUCCAAUCUUAAGGGGCACAGAACGACUCUGGUAUAAAAUAGUCAGUUUCUAUACAAAAAUAACUCCUUUGCACUUGGCAUUCCACAUCUCGAAAUAAAAAGCAUGCAAGGAGGAGAAUAUAAUAGCAUUAAACAAGUUUUAUUAACCAAACUUCAAAGAUGCCAGACAAGGCAAAAAAGGAAUCUGUACAAGCCAGAUCCCAAGAAUAAUAAUUCCAAUAUACAAUUCACGAAAACAAUAACUAAAACCAUGUUCAUCAGGCCUCAGCAGAAGCAACAUGUAAUAGCCAUACUCUAUUAUUUGAAACACAUUUCCAAGUUUGGAAAAGAUUCUAAACUAUUCUCGAUCUGUCAAUUAUUAACAUGUAAAACAUAAUAAUAUACGCUUAAACUACUACAGUAGUAAAACCAGUAAAACAACAAUACCUGCUAAAAAGAUUUGCUACCUCUUCACAUUCGCGAGCAUUGUAGAACCAAAUCCCAUUUACUUCUUGGGAUGCAUUUCGAUAUAACAAAUACGGAACCUGAACUUCAAACUCAAAAUCUCCCAAAAGAUUUUUCACUAAAUUAUCUGCACAUAUCCAAGAUAUUGAAGCUUCUCAGUGCAAAAACAUAUGCAAAAAGACAUGAAGGUUAGGAGACAUAACUAAAACUUAGCAACAACUGAUAAGCACAACAAGAAAUGAAAUAUAACACGAGUUGUAAACAAGAUAGACGCACGGUAUCUAAAUAAUUGUACCAACCCCCUCUCCUGAUUGUCAUAAAACGGCCAAUAUUUAACGCUAGACAACAACAUGGCAAAUACUCUAGCCUCUAUAUUAUUGGCAUAUAAAUAUUUUCGGUUGGGUACAUUAUAUUCUUCGUUCUAAAACCUCAAUCAUUAGCUAGUACUGUGAUAAAAUGAUUCAUCACUGAAAUUAAAACUAGUUCACGUACAAAUAAUCAAAACUGAAAUAGAAACAAGGACAAACCAACCCGUAUUACGUCGAUUCAUUACAACAAACUGAAAUCGAGGCUGUGUGUUCCUGAAAAUUGAAAAAAUAAUAAUUUCACCAACUUCAUAUGUAAUACAAUCUCCAAAACAACGAAUAUCAAAUGAAAAAAUGGAAAGCAUAAGAGAGAAAAGAAUCUAAUUUUAUUGACCUUUUGACGACGAAGAGAGAUCCUUCAACAUCCUUAUGACUCCAUUGGCUGAGGUCGAUGUUGAACUCGUAGAAGGUGACAUGAGCGGCCGUGAUGAGGAUCUCCUCAAUGAAUGGAUCGAUUCGCUGAAGAACUGUCAGGUUUAGGAGUUUUGUGCUCUGCUGGUCCAGAUUAGCCAUUAAUUUUCCGUUCUGCGACAUUUUUCAUAGUCCUUUUGGGCUCUGCCCCGAGCACAAGCGCCAUGGUUUUUCUGUGAGCUCUCUCUUUUGUAAAUAAAGUGUUUGAUGAGAUAGCCGAGAGAGAGUGAAAGAGUUGAGACUCGAGAUUGAUCUUGCUUUAACUUCUUUCAAACAUUUGGGAAAUAGCAUUUAGACCCCAAAAUUAGAUUUAUUAUAAUCAUUUUUUACCCGUACACUAUUAAUCCCUUUUAUUUUUUAAAUUGUCAAUAUUAAUGUAUUAGAAUAAUGUUAGAAAUCCCAAUUAUUAUCUCAAUGUUUCAAUCAUAACUAAUGUGAUAACUCAUCGGUGACUGUAACAUUAACCUAAUUAUUAAUGUUUAUCAUGAAAUGAUGAGAUUAUUAUUCAAGAAAAACUUAGUAAACAUCAAUGACUAAUAUAAUAUGACAAUUACAGCUGAAUAUUAGUACAAUAAUUAGGAUCCCUAAAGUUAGUGAAUGUAUUAUAAUAUAUGUGUGUUACACUAUUUUAUGUCUCUCAAAUUCAAUUAAGUAAUUUCAGAGACCUAACCUUUUAUUACAUUAAAUUAAGAAUGUAUACAUGAACAAAAGAUGUGCAGUUUUUGUUUUAUUUUUCACUAUUAUUUGCCAUUCAUCUACGUACGUCACUUGAUUUUUUGCGAUUAAUAUGCUUAAAUGGAUCUCUUUGAUAUAAAUAAAAUAAACGAAAAGUCUAAGAGAAAAAAAAAAUGAGGACCGAAAUUAUUACACCUACAACAAAUUUGCCCAGAGAGCAAUAAAUCAAACUUGCUUAGGAAGUUCAACAAUGAUUAGUUAAUAACUAAAAGAGCCUUCACCUAACAUGUUAAAGCUUCCGUCAAGCACAAACCCAUUGAAAGCUGUUUAGGUCCGUUUUCGAUCAUCGGAAAUUUGACAAAAUCAUAAAAACCCUCAUCUUAGAAAUUCCAAGCAUCAGGCAAUAGUCCGACUUUAUUGAUAUUGAGAGUAACACAAUAAAAGUUUCGUACAGAUUUUGCAAACGAAAAGCACAUAAUACACUUAACUAGGUGGAAAAAUUAAAGUGUAUGUAUUACAAACUGCUAACAAUAUACAAUAGUAAAAAUCACUCUUAUGAACUCACAAAUACUAGGCACCAAUAAGAGUAUGAUACAGCCAUUCUAAAUGAAAGAGAAUACAACUGUUUUACAACUAUGUCACAUCAAGAGAUAUGUUAGCAGGAUUAAUCCAGAUACCUAGGGAUGGCAACUGGAUCGCUCUAUAAUGGAUAUCCACAAUAUCCAUCCAAUUGGAUCGGAUAAUAUCCAUCCAAAAAUUUUUAGAUUUUGAAAUGGAUAUUUUAAAAUUAUAUCCAAAUGGAUAUGGAUGGAUAUAGAUAAUUAUUUUUACCCAAUGGAUAUCUAUUUAACCCAACACAAGUUUAAAAAAUUUUAAUUUUAUAAAAUAAAAAAUAAAAAAUAUAAUAAACAAACAAUUGUAAAAAUAUUAUAUUAACUAGUGAAAAUUUUAAAUUCAUCUUAUAUUAAAAACUAAAGUUUUCAAAAUUAUCCUUUAAUUUUUUAACUUAUUUAAUAUUAUUAAAAAUUAUUAUUUUAUUUUAUUAAUUUAAUAUUAUAAAUGGACAUCCACCGGAAAGUCACCGGACCUCCUCCGGAAUUCACCGGAAAGUUGCCGGACCACCGUCGACUUCGCCGGAAUUCGCUGGAAAGUUGCCGGACCACCGCCACCAACCACCAGACCGCCAUUUUAUAUAUAUAUAUAUAUAUAUAUAUAUAUAUAUAUAUAUAUAUAUAUAUAUAUAUUAUUACUAAUAUAAAUAGUUUAAUAACCAAAUUUAAUAUUGGAAUUUUAAUUAUUUUAUAUUAUUAUUUUUAUAUAAUAAAAAUAAAAUAUCCAUAGAUAUUCAUGGGUCUCCAUAGUUAUAUGGAUAAAAUCUAUAUCCAUGUCCAAUAUUAAAUACUGGAUAUGGAUAUAGAUAUAUCCAUUAUCGAUAAUUAUGGAUUUGUGUUUGGAUGGAUAAUAUCCAUCCAUAAUUGAAUAUUUGCCAUCCCUACAUAUACCUUUGAACCCAAUUAACCAACUCGAGUCAGAAACCAGGGGCCCCCAACUGAACCUUACAAUCUUGAAGGAAGAAGGAGACUUGUGGUCCAGAUAGGAGACUUACUAGAUCUCCUGCAAAAGAGAAUAUCUAUUGCUUUGAACCUCCAUUGAAAUUUCUUUUUCUCUUUUUCUUGUUUUAACUUGGAACUUUCCAGCAUCAUCUAUUUGAUCUUUUUUGAAGGUAAAAUAGCAAUCUAUAGGUUGCCAACAUGUUAUUCUGCCAAACCCCACCCCCCGGGGGACAACAAAUAGUGCCUACUCAACUUAUGUUUUCCAAUGGACGACAAUAUGCAAAUCGACCCAGUAGCCACAUUUUUCCUCCCUUUCAACCACCGUUAGGCAACUUUUCUAACCUUCCUUCAUUGCCCACACGUACAGAACUAUAAUAAAAAGACUACAUUAUUAUUGGGGUAGAGAAAAUAUGCAGACUAUAUUAUUAUUACAUCACAUUUUACUAAUUAACUAGUGCACGACUUAUUUAGUGUCAAAUCAAGAACUAAUUAGAAAAGACAACUCUUGAUAAUACAGACCUUAACAAGCAAUAGCUAACAACAUCCCAUAUACUCUUAUUUUAGCCUUCACUAUCCUGGUAAAAACACAAAUAAGUCUUGCAAACGAACAUUUAUAAGUAAAUUCAACAUUAAUUAAGAUUAGGUAUCUACUGCACCUUCAAUCAAUGACUGGGUGAAUAGCAUGGUCAACCAUCUAGUUCCUGUAGCCUUCCAUGUACCUAUGUUAGUUACAUUUUAUAUAUUAAGCCAUGAAAAUGAAGAACUCUUCCAUUUCAAACAGUGUUAGAAGAUAUUUGCAAAGCCUAAAGAUAACAUACGAGGACCAAGAUAUACACAGAUAGUUUCUUUACGGGACUAAAGAGCUUUUUUAGAUGUUAAAACUGUUUCAAACUCUUUUUCUUGUUUGGUUUAACUAAGGAAGAGCUUGUGGAAGAUUAAAAAUGAUGUUUCCUGUUCUCUGUAGGAAGCUUUUAGGAGAUUUUUUGGGUUUUUUUGAAAGGUUGAAUUGUCAAAAAUACCUUGAUGUUAUUGUUUGCUAAAAGAUGUUAUGGACAACUAAACAACCAACAACAUUUUGUUAAAAGCUCUACUAGUGUAGGAUCUACUUAAAGAAGCUAUACCAAACAGAUUCUUAGACUAAAUAACUCGAUCUUAAGUUUGUAAAAUUGGGCUCAGAAUCUCCACUAACAACCCCGCUUCGGUGAGAAAGCCCAAGCCUGUUACUUUGUAUAACCUUAUUCUGUAUGUUUGAUUGCAGGAACUGGCCGAUCAUACCGACGAGGUGAGUGUGCAACAUGAGGUGCUUGACGGGAUGUUUACUUUCUAUGAUACAACUAAAGCUAGCCUCAACAUAUAUCAGGUGCCUGCUUGUUUUUACCUUCUAGAUACUAAUAUUGUUUAGACGUGUAAUCUCUCUCUCCAUUGAACGCUAGACGGCUCGUCUCAAGCCUUCUACGUACAUCAGAGUCCUUCUUUAGCUUUUUAUGUAUAAAGUUUUGAUCUUUUUCCUUCAUUUGCUUGAAGCUCAUUACUGCAGAUUUUUUUUACAGGUUGCUAGUGUAACAUUCGACUUGCUGUUGCUUCUAGUGUUGGGAUCGUAUUUAAUUGUGCUUUUCAGCUUUCUUGUCACAACAACUUGGGUAUUACUCUUUCUCCAUAUCAAGCUUGAAGUUCUAAAUUUCAGUUUUAUCUUUUAUUUGAUGUUUUAUAAUUUCAUUGCAAACAGAUUAGAAUAGAAACUUCAAAAGUUCCAACUGACUAGUCCCGUGUAACUUUUUCAGGGAAUAUUUUCUCUCAUAACAACUACGAAUGUGUUAUGGUUUAGCUCAGUGACACAAAGGAUAGAAAAUCUAAGAUGCGAAAAAUUUUUGUUGAGAUUCAUUUUUCAUCCUGAUGUUACAGCUGGCCUUUUUUUUUUUUUUUGGCAGAGAAUAAUGCUUGUGUGAUUUCUGAACUUGGUGAUUGUUGAAAUGAGCUGAAAAUGAGCUGGAAAUGUGUUUGGUUAAUGAGAAAGAGAGCAAGAAAAUGAAAGAAAUCUAUUUCACUUUUUAUUUAUCAGCAUGAUUACAUUCACAAUAAAUCUAAGCUGCUAUUUAUACUUAAAUGAAUACACACGAGAAUCUUCUUGCUAGAUACUUCUAGAAACUCUACACGCACACUCACAUUGAGCUAGUGGUUACUAAAACCGUUACAACGAUAUUGCCAGCUCAGCAUAACCAACUUAUAACUAACACACUCAGCUGCAGGGGAAACCAUCAAGCUUACUGUGCAUCCUCUGUACUCAAGCUUCUUUAAGCAUGCUCUGCAGAUCAUACUCAAGCUUUUUUUUUCAUAGAAGUUGCAAUCUUUACGUUAUAUACUAGUUUGACUAGGCUAUAUAAGGAAGCUAUAUGAAAUUAGAAAAAUAAGCUAUACUAGGAAAGAAUAAAUAUAUGUACAGAAAAUUAGGCUAUAAUCUCUGACUUUAAACAAAUUUAAUAUCAAUUUUCUUCUGGAAGUUGUCUCGCAUGGGGCGCAUCAGUAUUGUAACGUCUGAUGGGUCUUACAUUAUCCACAAAAAUAACUCGUCCAUCUAGUACCUGCAAGUACAUACUCUGAGAUGCUUAAACUCAACAAUAUAAGCAUGGAAAAUUAGAGAAAAAUGAUGCAAUUUUACCUUCCCAUUCAUGUCUGCCGAGGCUUUUUGGGCUUCCUCUUCUGUACUGAAAGUCACAUAUCCGUAACCUUUUGAUCUAUUCUUACCUUUAUCCAUUAUUAUUGUAGCUGCAAACAGAAAAGAAUCGGAUAUUACAAAAUAGUGAAGAGGGAAGAGGGGUUGAGACUUAAAACAGAAAUAGACCAAACCCUCAGUGACGUGGCCAAAUUGUGAAAAAGCAUCAGCUAACAUUUCUUUAGUGGUUGAGAAAGAUACGCCUGCAAAGGAUGCCAGUUAAUUUUAUCAUAAUUUUAGAUGGUAAGAUUGCAAAUUCUGCAGCCAAAGGUAGUACGGAACUGAAUGAAGGAAAUCAAAUAUGAAUAUGUUUUCAAUCUCAGAAUAUUAAGAGUAGCAUAAGUAACUUGUGAAACAGUUACAAGUUCAACGGAAUUAACUGAUGGCAUGGUUGAAUUUUGUAAAUAUUUGAUAUUUUGAACCGAACACGGCAAACAGAUGGAUCCAGAUAAUCAAGAAAAACAUCAAUUCCAUGCAACCAAAUUAGUGUGGGCAAUGCAAUUGAGCAACACUAUAAAAUUAUUCAAAGAAAUCUCUAGGUCAGUAUCCAAAUAUAUUUCUGAAAAUGUUUUUUUCUCAUUAGCGCCGCCAUUUUUGUAAUAGAGGGUAAAGAAAUAAGUAACAAAGUAAGAGGUGAGCAGAAGCGGCCCAAUUUAGCUAUAUGCCAUGCAUGCGAUCAAAAUUGAACGGUUAAAUGGCAGCCACUAUGUUACAUCUUGUGUAAGUAACAAACCGCCUACAUGGAUCGUUGGAUUUGGGAAUAUGAAAUCCAAUGGAUAAUAUUGAAUUUAACGAAAAAUAGAUUACAGGUUGCAUUAGUCCAAGUUUAUUUCAAACAAACCAGCUGACGAAAUAGCCGCUAAUCAAAUUUAAAAGGGAAAAAAAAAUCAAAUUAUAGGUUAUAGAUCUUAUUUCCAUCUUAAAUCUAUGUCUUUCGUGGUGACUCAAUUUGUAAACUAAUUUAUAAUUUGGAUCUAUAUUAGAGCUAAUGCUUCCCUAAAUAACUAAGAAAAUUUUCUUUUCAUUGAUUAAAUAUUUAUUUCCAAUAUCUUGUAUAUGUAGGAUUUGAAAAGAGGGAAAAUAGUAGGGAUGAUAAUGAGAGAAGAUAGAGAUGUCGAUUCUCAAAUCUAAUAUUAGUGCUAUACUUAUAUUCCUAUACUAAAUAAAUUAUCCAAGGUUCGUGCUUAACGAUACGUUGCAAAAUUUUAAUUUCUAUUUAAAGCUCUGUCUAAUAUGGCUUUUCAUAAAGCUUAGAGAAAAGUAGAGCUUUUACCAAAAAAAAAUUAAUUAGAAUUGUCAAUGAUAAAUUUUAAAAAGUACUUUAAUAAAUAAGCUUUUAAAGUUAUAUAUAUUAUGAAAGAAAUGAAAUAAGAUUAUAUAAUAAAUUAAGAGUAUCUUAGAUAAUUGAACUUUAAAAAAAAAACUCGCUAAGAGGUUUAAAAUUUGAGUUUUAAUAGUGGAUACAAAAUAGUUUAUUUAAUUCUCAAAAGCUCUACUCAAAAUAGUUUAUUUAAUUCUCAAAAAAUAUUUUUUUCAUUGAGUAAAUAAUACUAAACAUGCACUAAAGUGUUAGGACCAGAAGUUGUACAAAAAAUGAUGGCUACAACUUAAAUUAUGAAUGGAGUAAUCGGAGAAUAUUGAAACCCGUUUAAUUUGGAUCGUGCAUUGAGGGACGAAAGGAUAAAAAAUUUAAUUUUGAAAUUGCUGUUGGGUACGGUACAAUGACUUACCGUUGACAGCUUUUGCAACCGGAUUACAAUCGGUUAGUUCAAUAAUUUUAUAUCCCCAUUUAACCGCCACGUGCUGCUGUUACAUGGGUCAAUUAGUCAUGUCAUUACUGUUACUUACAGAUGCCGUAACAUAACCGGACCCUGGUUAAAUUCUGUUGUUUCCAAUAAUUUUAUGCUGUAUCUUCUUUAAUAAUAAAGAAAACUUGCAUUAAAAUUAAAAUUAGGGUAAUACCUGAUUUUAUAAAUAGAUUGCAAUGUAAUUUUGAAAAAUAAAACAAUAAUUUACAAAAUGUUUAUAACAUAAUUUUAAUUUUUUUUCAAAAAGGAAAAAGAACAAAAGUAAGAAAUAGAGAAUUAGGGCUACAAACUUUGUAUCUUAAACGGCCGUUAGAUUAUUUGUAAAUGAAAGCAACGGUCAGAUAUUGGUGGAUUAUGGAAACAUGUAAUCAUAAGGACUGUGAGUUUUUUUUGUUACAUUAAUAUAUUACAAUCAAAUUCUAUUAGUAUUUACAACUAGAAUUUCAUUUGACUAUCUUUGAUAAUUCUAAACUAGUACAACCCAAAUUCUUAUUCUCACAUAAUAUCAAAGAGAGAUAUAUAUUCUUCUCCUCUAUUAAUAAAGAGACAUUUUUAUUUCCUUUUAAUAGUUAGGACUCAGAACUCAUACACGCUAGUUUGAGAGUGUUGGGUGUGACAAUGAGCCAGGAGACCAUUGACAAGUACAAAAGAGUGGUAGAAAUUAAUUCAAUCCGCUACACACGCUAUUGCAACCAAAUUGAGGGCCCAUUUUUGUUUAUUUGGUUGAAAAAUAGUUUGCAUAAUUAAUUCAAACCGCUACACACGCUAUUGCAACCAAAUUGAGGGCCCAUUUUUGUUUAUUUCGUUGAAAAGCAGUUUGCACAAUUAAUUCAAACCGCUACACACGCUAUUGCAUCUUUUGAAAAAGAAAAACAGAAUAGUUUUCUAAAAUUAAUUCCGAGAAGAAGAUUAACUAAUAAUGAUGUUAGAAAUUUUAAUAUUUGAGUCUUAAUAUUAUGUAUCACUCAUUUAUUAAAUAAUAGAUUUCAUAAUUUAUAAAAUUACUUAACCACUUGAUAAAUGUUAUAUUUGUUGGGACUAAAUUGGGACUUAAAUGUUGGAAUAUCUAGUAUUGCAUUAAAAAAUAAAUAAAAACAUAACAAUUUAUCUUCACUUGACUAAUUGUUUUUACAUCACAACUAACCUUAAUUAUUUUGAAAGUUACAGUAUUAUUAAAUUGUCCUAACUGGUUAUCAAAAGUUGAAGCAUGUUAAAAUAAAAAAAAUUACCAAGAAACAUGUGCUUAAACAGAGGUUAAGGCUAUGAACAAUUAAGAAGAAACUCUUAAUUUGGUCCCAGUUAGUAUAAUAAUCAUCUAUUGAGCGGUAAAAUAUUAAUUUUAAUAGUGAUGAAAUCCAAUAUAUAAUAGAUUAAUAACACACAUAAAUUAAAACUUAACUGUCAGAAAUCAUAACAUUACUCUACUCUUCAGUAGAGUUCUCUUAACAGAUUAUGUGAGAUUGCCUACAUUAAAAAUAGGUUAAGACUGCUUGUUGAAAGCAAUAUUCGCUUUUUCAUUAUAUCCAUAACUUUGUUGGGUCCCUCUAUGGUGCCGUAAUUUUUUUUACGGUAUUAAUAGUGUAACAAAUUUGUACCAUUAGAUAUAAUCAACGGUACACAUUAUUUUUAAUAAUGAAAAUAUUUAAUUAUUUCACAAAUGUUAUAACCGGUUAACAAACCGGUUGCAAAACCUAUUUUAAAUUUAAAAGGAAAGAAAAUAGAGAUAUAAUAAAACUCAAUCUCCUUCUUUAUCUCAUAAAAUUCGUAAUCUGUUUAUCUCCUUUGUUGUUGUAUUGAAAUUGGAUUCCUCAAUGCUGUCUCAGUUCACAAAUGAUUAAUCGUGUCAAAUCGUAAGCUUGUUCUUAUCGUUCAACUUUUUCUCCAUUUAUUGCCACAUUUAUUUGAUAGGUAGGCUUUUAAAUUUAUUGCUCGAUGGUGACAUUAGACAAGGAAUCACAGAUUUGAUGUUCUUUGUUGUACUAAAUUCAUAUCAAAUCUUGCUUUGAUGCUAUAAUAUAUUUAGUUACUACCUUACAUUUUCUUUUUUCACAUUUGAAAACAAAUUCUUUUUAUUCAUAGGAUUACAUAAAGUGCGCAGCCCUGAAGUUUGAACUUCAAAGGAUAAAGUUGCAUUGCAGCAUGUUAAGCAGCAAAGCUUCUUCACUGCAUUAGAUAGAAGACGGUGAAUCAAGUGCAGCCAAGACUUGGCUGAGUCAGCAAUUAACCACCAAUCGUUUAAGAAAGAGGGGCAAAGCAAGUUGAGGCCCACUUAUUAAUCUUAGCCUCUGAUUCCAUUCUCCUUUUCUCCGUCCUGAUUUGAUUAUCUCCAGCAGUGACGCUAAAGGUUAAACUGGCAUGAUCUUGCCCACAUAUAAAUGUAUUUUUUUUUUUUAGGAUCUGAAGGGGCAAAUUUUUUUUUCAAGUUUGUUAUAUGAUCUUUUGUGAAGACCUGAAGAUACGAGAGUCAGAUUAAUAAUUUUGUCUCUCUUAGGCUUUAUGCAGUGGGAAUGAACUUUCUCUCUUUUAAUUCUCUGCCAUUUUCUCAAUGAAGGCAGCAAGAGAAUAUUCAGUCUUUCAAAGUCUCAACAUUCAUAAUUUGGCCAGUCUAGUUGUUUACCUUGCAUCUGCUGGAGUAUUAUAUCGCCAAGAGAUUUUUCCGUUGCACUUUACGAAUUUAUAUUAUUUUGAGGAGGGAAUUCAGCUAACUAUUAAUAUCAUACAAUUGAAAUUUAAAUGUCGGUCUUUAAAUUCUAAAGAUUAAAGACAAGCCUAAUAUGAAAAUACAGAUGUUAAAAUCUUCAUUUUUGUUUAUUGAUACUUUAUUUGUUAGUAUCAUAAUUUUAGAGAUAUAUUUGAUGUUACAUGAUUGACUAAAUAUUAACAUUAAAAUGCAGAUGGAAAGAAAAAAUGAUGGAGGGCUCCAUAAAAGCAUAAAAAGAAACGGAGAUGGUGAAGCAAACUUUCGAAAUUGCAACCAUGAGAAGGAAUUGACAAAGCUUAAUGAAAAAAUGGAUGGGAUGACAUUUAAUCUUGUCGCUGUCAGGCAUGAACUUGGUGAGCUGAAGAGGAACAAUUUAGAUACUUAUGCAUUGGUACAAAAAAUGUAUAGUGUAGUUGAAGCACUUGAACGUAAUAUAACUCAUAUGCAAUCACACGCAUGGAAGGAAAAGAUGAACUCUUCUAGUAAAGAUGUUCAAAAUAGUAAAAAUGAAUCAAGUGGUCAAAAUUUCGUGGAAAAGGGAGAUGAGUUUGGGGUGAAGAUCGCAGAGAUUAAGGACAAGAUUGAAGACGCAUGUGAUGAAAAUUUAUCAUUGAAAAACUUAUUUGUGUAUAGGAAACAAAAAGAGAACCAAAUCUUCCACAAUGUUGUUAAAAAGGUAUGAUAAUAAACUAUUAUUCUACAUUUUUUUUUCAAAAAUAUUUGUAUAGCACAUUCAUUAAACAAAAAAAUAAUAAUAAUAAAAUUCAUGUUCUUAUGCAUGUAGGAUAAAGCCAUGGAUGCAGUUGAUUUUGUGGAUUUGGUAUCAUCGGUGGAAGUAGAUGCAAUUGAGGAUAAAAAGGUGCGUCCUCGAAAGCCCAGUCGUUAUAAAAAAUCUCCUUAUGAAAAUUUUACAAAAAAAAAAGGCUAUCGCAAGAAGGAGUUCGAUUUAUCCAAACAUGGAGCUUCUUUUUCGGAGGAAGAAUGGUAUAUUUUACAGUAUAUUUUUCAUGAACAACUAGAUAAAAGGUAUGGAACUAUUUAAAUAUAAUCAUAUUUUAUAUGUUUGUAUUUUGAUGUUAUUAUUUGUUUUAAUUAACUAUUAAUGUGAGUGUAUAACUUAUGCAGAGAGAAAAUUGUAAUGACAAAACGACAUAUUGUUACCCGCUUCUUAAUGUCUUCUUUAGCUCCUAAUGUUUGGAUAUUUGAUGAGGUAUAUUGUGUUAGUGUGUGUGUCUAAUAUUCAGAGCGUAAUAAGAUUAUAUGUAUUUAAUUUAUAAUUUAUUUUUCAUUUGGUAGUGCAUGUUUUAAUAAUAAUGUUGUGAUGAUUUUAUUCAUAGAUCAUAAGUUGCUAUGCUGAGUAUUUAACUAGAAAGGAGAGUUUGAAGCAAGAUAAUGAGACUCGAAAUUGGUUUUUACCAACUCUUUUUGGGGUAUGUUAUAAAUUUUUGUUGUUACAAAUAUAUAAUAUGCUUUUACAAAAAAAUUAGAAUUUUUUUAAAAUUAUAUCUUACCAUCUUCAUAUAAUUAUUAAUUUAUGAAUGUUGUAGCAAAUAGUGGCGAAUGUGUCAGGUGUUUCAACUAUUGAUAGAUCAGAGAUUGAAAUUUCGGUUCGUAAACAUAACAUUUGUGAAUUUUACAUGGGUGCACUCAAAAGAUGUGAAAAGGUCAGGAAUAUUAUCAUAUGUUCAAAAAACAAAAAAAUUUAUUUACUCAAAUAUCAUAUGUUUUAUUAUUAUCAUUUGAAGGGAGUAAUGAUUAAUACAAAAUUAGUGUAUUGUUGCACAGAUAUAUGUUCCUCUUUAUGACGGGCUUGCAAAACAUUGGUAUCUUGUAAUAAUGAAUAUAAAAGAUAAGACUGCUGAGAUUUGGGAUUCUUUGCCUAAUUCUGAAAUAGAACCAAAUCAUCGUCAAGAAAUCGUUAAGCAAAAUGUAAGUUCAAAUUUUUUAUUUGUUUAUAUGAAAUUACUAGAUGCAAUAUAUAUUAACUAUCAUUAUUAUUAUGCAGUACAUGCAUUGGNNNNNNNNNNNNNNNNNNNNNNNNNNNNNNNNNNNNNNNNNNNNNNNNNNNNNNNNNNNNNNNNNNNNNNNNNNNNNNNNNNNNNNNNNNNNNNNNNNNNCCUAGUCUUGCUUCGUGAUAUAGCCUUUAACUUUCCUUCUGAUUGGGUAUUUCGUUGACUUUGACAUUUUAUAUCCAAAUAAUGUGCCAAUUCAACCAAAUGGAAAUGAUUGUGGCUUGUAUGUGAUGAAGUUUAUGGAGACUCCAUGUGAGAUGUUAUUCCCAACUUAUAAGGUAACUUAAUCAUACAAUUUAUAUUUCUUAGUUUGCACAAUACUUUAAUCAAUAUUAAAUUGUUAUUAAUUCUAUUAUAUGCAGUAUGAAUCGGAUGAAGAAAGAUUUCGUCUUGCGCUACUCCUUGUAAAUGGUGAUGCAAAUGAAGUAAGAGAUAGUGUUAUACAAAAAGCACUAUCAUUCCGUGGUCCUAAGACGAAUGUUAUUGCAACUAGUAAAGUUAGAACUAAAGUUGCUUCUCAAAAAAAACAUCGUUCAAUUAAUAAAGUUAGAACUGUAAUUGGUACUGGAGAAUAUUUGAAGAAACCAGGAAGAAAAUCCAAUUGAUCUGCCUAGUAGAGGUUUAAUAAAUUUGGUAUUGGACGUAAUUUGUAUUUUGUCACUUUUAAUUUUUUUGUCCCCUCAAUUGAAUUUUAUAUUCAAUGUAAAGUUUUUAUUUGGAUUACUUAAUUUUCUUUUUUAGUUUUUAAGUUUUUGGAUUACUCUUUAUGAAAAUUUUGUGUCUUGUUACUUUCAAUUUUUUUUGUCCCCUUUAAUUGACCUUUGUAUUCGAUGUAAAGUUUUUAUUUGGAUUACUCAUUAAGUUUUGUUAGCUUUUGAGUUUAUGGUCUCUUCCAAUUAAAAACUUUCAAAAAAUAAUAGCCUGCUUUUUUUUUUUUUGUGUGUGUUUUAAGUUCAGCCUACAAGUGAAUGACUGUAAGUCGUUAACUAAAAAUCUAAAAAUGUCAAAUGUCAAAUAUUCUUCCGCUUCUCAUCACCUUCUUUUCCAACCUAUAAUAUGCCAAACAAAAAUGCAUCAAUAAAAAUAAAUUUAGAUAACAGCUAAAAUAUUCAACCUUUGUAAGAAUUAUCCUAAUAUAAAUAUACCUCAUUAAGUACUGGACAUUUGCGUCUAUUGUGUCCAGGUAAUUUGCAAUACCCACAUUUUUUCAAAUUGACGCCUUUAUUAAAUCUUGCACUAGGAGCACCUUUCGUCUUCACACUUAAUGGAUCUUUUAUAAUAGCAACAUUUCUCUUCUCACUGGACCAUCUACCUCUUUUCUCUUCAAAAUUCCCACUCAACUCUAACAUUUCAGACUUAAGUUGUGUGAUAAGACCCUUUAAUUUCAAGUAUCCAGCAUCUGUCAUCGAGGCAUAGAAAAAUGUGUCUAGUUACAGAAGAAAUUUACAGAAUCAAAUUUUGACUUCGCUUCUUAAAGAUAUUCACGAUUUAGUGCACAAAGGUCACAACCGUCUAGAAACCACACAAGAUCCGAUGUUUCUGAAUUAACUGAUAUCAAUUAACAAGGAAUAAAAUUAAAAACUAUAUAUCUAUAGAAAGAUUUAUUUUUCAGGAGUUCAAAUAAUUUUACGGUUUUCUAUUUGAAGUUUUCUACAUGAAGAUAUGGCUUAAAGAAUGCUGACUGCUCAAAAUCACUGAAGCAACCAAGUCUAUGAUUAUCAGAAAACUUGCAUGAUUAAACUGUACUGAUCUAGAAUAUAUGAGAUUGCAUACUAUAUAUUUUUUGAUAGAUAAAUAUGUCUAGUUACAGAAGAAAUUUACAGAAUCAAUUUUCGACUUCGCUUCUUAAAGAUAUUCACGAUUUAGUGCACAAAGGUCACAACCGUCUAGAAACCACACAAGAUCCGAUGUUUCUGAAUUAACUGAUAUCAAUUAACAAGGAAUAAAAUUACAAACUAUAUAUCUAUAGAAAGAUUUAUUUUUCAGGAGUUCAAAUAAUUUUACGGUUUUCUAUUUGAAGUUGUCUACAUGAUGGCUGAUGUGUUUCAGCAGAUAUUACAAGAGGAAAUAUAUCUUCUCCCAGUGAUGGUUUUGAGAGAUCGUCCAACUCAUAGAAGCCUAAGUCGAUGCCUGUUCCCGAAGGCUGACGAAACUUCUGACCCAAUCCUUUCUUAAAGGGAAUUUUUGCCGGCAUAUAAGCUUCAGGAAACAGUGGAACAAACUUACAGUUGGGCUCUUCCUUGGCAAAGUAGAAAACAGUGAUGCUGCAGAUAAGAAAAGAAAAUAAAGAGAUAUGGCUUAAAGAAUGCUGACUGCUCAGAAUCACCAAAGCAACCAAGCCUCUGAUUAUCAGCCAAAUUCCAUGAUUUAACUGUAUUGAUCUAGAAUAUAUGACAUUACAUAAUAUAUAUGUUUGGAUAGAUGAAUGUAUCUAGUUGUGGAAGAAAUUUACAGAAUCAAGAUAGACUAAUAAUAACUUAAUAUUAACAAAAUUUUUAUUGUACAUGUUAUUUUAUCAAUUAUAUUUAUUGUAACACUUUAUUUGUAUCAUAUGAUUUUUAUUUGUUAUUUUUAUCCUAUUACUAUAUUUAUAUUUAUUUAGAUUGAUUUAGUCAAAAGGUAUAAUAGUCAUUUAGGAAAUUAAGAGGGUCUAUGUGACUAUUUAUGAAACUAAAGGAACAUGUAUAAUUAUUUUAGCAAAUCUUAGGGGUGUGGGUGGUUUUUUCCGAAAUUAAUAUUGAUUUAAAAUUAAAAAAUUAAUAUUUACCUGUAACCUGUAAGUUACCUGCUCUAUUUUAAUUAAUUAUCUAAUUAUCUAUUAUAUUAAAUGAAUGAUUCAGAUUAAAACUCUUAUAUCUAAGGGUCCACAUUAGUUCCACUAUCAAUACUGUAAAAAUAAAUACAGCAUCAUAAAGAAAUCCAACUUUGAAUUGAUAAAGUUGUAUUCAACAGCUCUUGAAAAGACUAAGCUGGUCUUCUUUGCAUUUGAUCACUGGUAUUUCAGUUAAGUUUGUCGUUUACUUAAAUUUUUCUUGCUUUCAAUUUCCACUGUUGUUUUUUUUUUAAUAAAAUAAUUUGUUUAACUAGUCAUAGAAAUAAGAGAGAAAAUGGGCCAUUUCUUGACUCAAAGUCAAUUAUAAUUAUCAAAACUUGAGCGGACAUUGCAUGCCUAAAUUCCACGCACCCUAAAACGGUUUGAUUUGCUUUCACGCGUUCAUGAUUUUGCAUGAAAGAGAGUGCCUCUCGUCUCUUUCCGGACAGUGACUACAGUCAUGGAAAAAUUAUGUUAACGUGACGAAUACAAAACGUUAUUACAUACAAGAAUAAGUUUUUGGACCCGAGACUUGAGGGAGGUUCUAUCUAAUUCUAAAGAUUGUAACCAAAGCAUUAUCCCCAAUUUUUUUAAGUUAAAUAAAAUAAAAUUUAUGCUUAAGUAUAAAUAAUUUUUUAAAGUUAAAUAUAAAAUAAAAUUCAUGAACUUCCAAGAAAGAAAGAAGACCCUUCACCUUCUUCGUGACAACAAAUGAUGUUGAUAUGACAAAUACAAGCGCUAGUACAGGGAACAGCAUAAGACCGAGACUUGAUAAAUAUUAAAUAUAUAAAAUAAGUGGAGCAAACGAACAGAAUAAUAGAUUUUUAUAAUAUUCUUCAUAAAAAUCCAAGUUUUGAGCUGGCCCAUAAGCUUAUCUAGUGAAGUCUGGGUAUCCGCGUUGCCCAAGGUUCCGUUUGAAUUCAGGCUGUGCUGAUAUUUAUGACAUCCGACGGAGAGGAAAUAUUUUCAGUUGACUAAAUUAAAUAAAAGUAUAUUAUAAUCAUAUUAUAUAUUAGCAACAAAAAUAAAAAGAAAUGAAGAAAAACGCAUGCAAGACUUAGAGAAGUCAAUUAAAAGAUGGGAGUAUCAUCAGUUCAAUUGGUUAUAAAUAGCGUAGAGCCAUCCUCUCGUUGUUGCAGAAGAGAGACAGAAAGAGUGUGUGUAGGUGAUUAUAAUUAAGAAGAUAUAAUGUGUGGUUCAAAAAGAGUGUGGGUGAGUGAGUUAAUACUCAUAUUAUUAGUAGUAAAAGGGUGGUGGAGUGAGGGAUGUUUGGAGCAAGAGAGGUCUGCUCUCCUCCAACUCAGACAUUUCUUCAAUGAUGAUCAACGUCUUCAAAACUGGGUAGACGAUGAGAAUAAUUUAGAUUGUUGUCAGUGGGAAGGGAUUGAGUGCAACAACACCACUGGCAGUGUGAUUAAAUUAGAUCUAGCACAAACUCGAAAAUGGGAAUCAGCGAAGUGGUAUAUGAAUGCCUCUCUGUUUACUCCCUUUCAACAAUUAGAGUCUCUUGAUCUAAUUGGGAACAAUAUAGCUGAUUGUGUUAAAAACGAAGGUCAUUAAUUUACUCUAUUUUAAUUCUUCCUCCUCGUAAUUUCUUACAUCUAUCUGAUCCCUUUUGGCUUUUGUUUAAUUUGUACGUGAUACAAUAAAAUUAUUUUUUUUCAGGUUUGGAGAGGUUAUCAAGGUUGAACAACUUGAAGUUUCUUUUUUUAGAUGAUAACUACUUCAACAACAGCAUCUUUUCAUCUCUAGGUGGUCUUUCAUCACUCAGACACUUAUCAUUGGCUGUUAAUAGAUUGAAUGGAAGUGAUGAUAUUAAAGGUAAGUAAGCUUCAUCCCUUCUCCCGUGUCCCAUCUUUGUGGAUCUUAUUUCAUCGACCAGCUGGAAGUAUUGAUACGAGAUCUAGCUAGACUCUUGCUAGUUUAAGCUUCAAGGCUUUGAAUAUUAUAAAAAUAGGUUUAAGGAAUUAUCAAUAUAUGCAAUUUUCUAUGCUUCUCAUAAUCAGACACAAUUCAAUCUAAUUAUUUCGUAUGUCCUCUCUUCAAAAGUAAAGAAUUGUACACUAAACGGAAAUCGACAUUGUAGCUUUUUAUUUUUUCUAAUGCUCUUUCUUUGUUAACGAGUUUAUAUCCUGAGAGUGCAUUGGAUUCAAAAAAAAAAAAGUUUUGAUGUUCAAGGUAAGCCAUAAUAACAUGCAUCUUAUUUAUCUGUCUAUAUCUAAAUUUGUGCACUGAAUUUAGUAUUUUAGUUAGUGUGAAGGGAUCAGAUAUUGGCUUCCAUAAACCAACUUGUAUUUACUUAAUUAAUUAAUUAACACCAUUUAGUAUUUAACAAAUUAAAAUUUCGUGUUUAAUUUGUCUUAUUUUUUAUUUUUUGAAGCAAGAAUAAGGUAUAGCAGUAGGUAAAGUUGAAAUACAUAUUUAUUCCUUACAAAUUUAAAUUCGUUUUCAGCCAAAUAUACCUACUUAAAACCACUCAAUCAUGCCAUUGGCAACAGUUUUUUAGGUUUUUCUAGUUAACCGUGUACUUUUUUGCUUAUUAAUAAAAUUCUUUUGUGCUGAGAUUUAAAAUAAAGAAGGAGAAAAUAAGUUAUUUAAUUAACCUUGUUUUAAGUGUUGGCAUAAAUGCAGGACUGAAUUCCUUGAGUAACUUGGAGGAGCUGGACAUGACAGGCAAUGCAAUCGAAAAUCUUGUGGUUCCUAAAGGUAUACAAAAUGUUCAAAUAUUAAUAAUUUGGAGGACAGUUUAAUUGAUUUGAUUAGGGAAUGCCCAAAUGACACUUACCCAAAAUAAUUUAAUCCAAAAUUGUAUCCCAAACAGAUUUCAUAGGUUUGAGGAAGUUGAAUACCCUUAAUUUAGGGGGAAGCGAAAUUCGAAUGAUAGAUGGAAGCAAGGUGUUGCAAUCAAUAGGAUCACUACCGUCCCUCAAAACACUUUGCCUUUCAUAUACUAAUUUUACGGGAACAGUAGUUAAUCAAGGUAAGUAAAUCUUUUAUGUCGAAAAUAAUUGAAUUAAUAUAUAUAGCUAAAAUUUAUUGUUUCUACUUCUUUCUACAUAGAAUUGCACAAUUUCACCAACUUGGAAGAAUUGAUAUUGGGCAAAUCUGAUCUCCAUGUAAGCCAGCUUCUGCCAAGCAUCGCAUCAUUCACUUCGUUAAAGUAUUUGUCAAUGGGAGGUUGUAUACUCACAGGUGCCGUACAUGGUCAAGGUAAAUUAUGGGUAUCUGAAGCUUUUAAAUUUUUUCUUUUAAAUUUUUUAUAUUUUCACUGUCCAAUGGUUCUACCUUCUCUAAAUUGUAGGAUUCUUGAUUAAGGUUAAUGAAAUUUUUGUUCUGUUAUGUUAAGAAUAUUUCGAUCGCUUAGAAGAGUAAAGAAAAAUAAGUAAAUUAACCCAAAAAAAAAAGAAAAGAACAGGACCGGAUUAUCCUUAUUCCCUUGCAUUAUGUGAUCAAUAUCAAAAUUAUAACCAUUUCUUGUUUAUUGCUUGUAGAUUUUCGUAAAUUCAAGAAUUUGGAAAAUCUGGACAUGAAUCUGGUGUAUGUUGACGUCAACACCAGUUUUCUUCAAAUUGUCGGUGAAUCGAUGCCUUCUCUCAAGUUUUUAUCACUGACAGAUUCAAUUCUUAAUAAAAACACCAUUCUUGAUCAAGGUUAAUUAAUGAUUCUCCUUCUCCCUCUCUCGCAUCAUAACUAAAUUUAAUUGAGAAUAUCUAUAAUGCGAGCUAUUUAUAAACUUAAUGAAAGAUGAUAAGGAGCCAUAAUAAUGACAAAAAUAACUGUAAAAUAGUGCACUGUUGUAGUGUUGAUUGAAAAAUAAUGCUAAUUUUUUACUUAACAUUAUAACGCUGUAUAAUUUUACAGUUAUUUUGUUGCCAUUACGUCAGAUUAUACUGUUCAACUAUCAGUGAUCAAACUUAAUUUUUAAUGUGUACUUGAAAGAUAUGUAAUUAUUUAUCUAUGUGUACUGAAGGAUGAAUUAUAUAUUUUUCAGGACUUUGUCAGUUAGUGCAUCUGCAAGAGUUACACAUCGGCGGUAAUGAUUUGAGAGGUAGCUUGCCAUGGUGCUUGGCAAACAUGACAUCCCUUCAAGUGUUAGAUGCCUCUUCUAAUCAACUUACUGGAAACAUCUCCCCAGGCCUUUGUGAGUUGGUGUUUCUAAGAGAGUUAUCCAUUCAUAACAAUGAUUUAAGAGGUAGCUUGCCUUUGUGCAUGGCAAAUUUGACUUCCCUUCGAGUAUUAGAUGUCUCUUACAAUCAACUUACUGAAAACAUCUCAUCUUCCCUCAUGCAUCUAAUAUCUAUGGAAGAGCUCAUAAUUUCAAAUAAUCACUUCUUCCAAAUCCCUAUUUCACUUGAACCACUUUUCAAUCUCUCAAAACUCAAGACUUUCGAUGGUGAAAUAUGCGCAAAAACUGAGUCACAUUAUAAUUCUUUGACCCCAAAAUUCCAACUGACUUCUAUCUCACUAUCUGGUUACAUAGAUGGUGGCACAUUUCCCAAAUUCUUGUACCAUCAGCAUGACUUGAAGAAUGCUGAUCUCUCACACCUUAACUUGAGUGGAAAAUUUCCAAAUUGGUUGCUAGAAAACAAUACGAACUUAGAGACGCUUCUUCUUGCCAACAACUCUCUUUUUGGAUCAUUUCGGAUGCCAAUUCAUUCCCACCAGAAAUUGGCAAUAUUGAAUGUCUCCAACAAUUUCUUUCAAGGCCAUAUUCCGGUGGAAAUCGGAACAUAUCUGCCAGGUUUAACGGAUUUAAACUUAUCUAGAAAUGCUUUCAACAGUAGCAUUCCCUCUUCAUUUGCUGAUAUGAAAAUGUUGAAAAGGUUGGACAUAUCCUACAAUCAGUUGACUGGUGAAAUCCCUGAGCGCAUGGCCACGGGUUGCUUCUCAUUGGAAAUUCUUGCAUUGUCAAACAACAGUUUGCAAGGUCAUAUAUUCUCUAAAAAAUUUAACUUGACAAAUUUGAUGAGGUUGCAGUUGGAUGGUAAUAAAUUCAUUGGAGAGAUCCCAGAAAGCUUAUCUAAGUGCUAUUUGUUGGCAGGAUUGUAUCUGAGUGAUAAUCAUCUCUCUGGUGAGAUUCCAAGAUGGUUGGGUAAUUUGUCAAUUUUAGAAGAUAUUAUAAUGCCCAAUAACAAUCUGGAAGGACCAAUUCCAAUCGAGUUCUGUCAGCUUUAUUUUCUGACGAUUUUAGACCUUUCAAACAAUGCUAUUUUUGGAACCUUACCAUCUUGUUUUAGUCCAGCAUCUAUUGAACAAGUUCAUUUGUCAAAAAACAGGAUAGAAGGACGGUUGGAAAGUAUAAUCCAUGACAGCCCCAAUUUGGUGACAUUAGAUCUCAGUUAUAAUCGCUUACACGGAAGUAUUCCAAAUCGGAUUGAAAGACUACCUAAGUUAAACUACAUUCUUUUGGCUAAUAAUUAUAUUGAAGGCGAAAUACCAGUUCAAUUAUGCCAUUUGAAGGAAGUGCAGUUGAUUGAUCUUUCUCAUAAUAAUCUAUCUGGUCAUAUUCCUCCUUGCUUGGUUAACACUUCACUUAGUGAAGGUCAUCAUGAGGCAGUAGCUCCAACUUCUAGUUUGUUGGGUCAACUGCCUGCCUCACCUCCAUCUGAAUCUGAGGCUGCAAGUGGACCUCCGAUGGGAAAGGAAGAAACUGUACAGUUCACAACAAAGAAUAUGUCCUACUAUUAUCAAGGAAGAAUUUUGACGAGUAUGUCUGGGAUUGAUCUUUCUUGUAACAAACUGACAGGUGAGAUUCCUACUCAAAUUGGAUAUCUUACUAGGAUUCAUGCACUAAAUCUAUCUCAUAACAAUUUGACGGGCACAAUCCCGACAACAUUUUCAAACCUGAAGCAAAUCGAAAGCUUGGACCUCUCCUACAACCUACUGCAUGGGAAAAUCCCUUCUCAGCUCACUGUGCUAACUACAUUGGCGGUCUUCAGAGUAGCAUACAAUAACUUAUCAGGCAAAAUCCCAGAUAGAGUUGCACAAUUUUCAACAUUUGAGGAAGAUAGCUAUGAGGGGAAUCCUUUUCUUUGUGGAUGGCCACUGUCUAAAAGUUGCAAUGAUAGUGGAUUAUCAGCAGUGACACCAGAAGCUUACACUGAAAAUGAAGAAGGUGAUAGUUUAAUUGACAUGGACAGUUUCUUGAUCACUUUUACAGUAUCUUAUGGAAUUGUGAUAUUAGGAAUUAUCGGAGUUUUGUACGUAAACCCCUAUUGGCGGCGAAGAUGGUUUUACCUUGUUGAAGUGUGUAUGACCUCUUGCUACUAUUUUGUGGCAGACAAUCUUGUUCCUAGAAGAUUCUAUGGUGGAUGGAUGUAAUUUCAUUUACUUUACAACUUAUAUGUAAUUUUUAAAGAAUUUUCUUUUGCAUGCAUGGAAUAGCAACUCAAUAAAAGUAUUUGAUGCAAAUUGUCCAAGAACAACUUAGUAAUUUCAUUGCUACUAUUCGGUUGUAUAUAUACAGUUAAUGAAAUUUUUAAUCAUUCGCAGUAGGAAUUUCUUUAGAUGGCGGCCAAAACUAACAGAUUUGGGGCUCUACUUCUACACAUCAUAACAGGCAAAAGGUCUCUCUUUUACACGAUCUGAAUCAUUCAAUAGGUGUCUACUUCUACACAUCAUAACAGGCAAAAGGUCUCUACUUCUACGCCCCCUGGAGUUCUCCAUUAAACUUGACGGUUGAGAUUUCAGGUCCAGAUGAAAGUUAAAUGCAGGCGACGAGACUACACUUUAAGUAAACUGGGACAAACUUAAAAUAAAAAAAACUAUAGUCCAGGGUGAGAGUGAUGGGUAGCUCAACUUAUGGAGGAUAACUAGGACUUGGAAUAACUAUCAGAUUUGCAACUCUUGUAAUAUAUAGUGGGCAUUCAGGUAGCAAUUAUCGCCUUGGGAGUUACCGUAAUCGAUUCAUUUCCUCCUUCAUUUCUGAUGGUAACCCAGCUCUAUACAAGAACAAUAAGAGAAGGUUCCUUUAAGAAAUUUCACAACCCACAAUUUUUUUUUUUCCUUUUUGCCCUGUUCCUCACAAUAAACACACCUAACACACCAAGCCGUGCCCAAAAUAAUCCUAUUUUAUUCAUGUCAUGAAUCCAAAAACUAUCCCAGCUCACUUUGUUUAACCAGCAUAACUAAAUUGUGGGUAUAAAUGAACAGACUUUCGAAGCCUGUAACUUAUAAUAAGCUCAAACCCAAAAAUGACAUUUAAAUCCUGCAAGUGUUUUUCAUCAUCCCUAACAAAAAGAAACAAGAAUAAUUAUAUACCAAUAAUUUUUCCAUAAAAAAUACUGAUUUGAGUUGAAGCACUAUACAAACUGGGUUUUAUUACACUUGCAGAAAGCUACACGGUAGACAAAAUCUAGCAGCUACAUAUUGGUAUCACUUUCAGCUGGUCAUGAAUGGUGUGCAUUCAGCAGUGCACAAUAGACCAUGUCUAUGAAUUGAUUGUCCUAUUACAUAUAAAAGCUGGUCAGAUAUACAAGGAAAAAAAUAAUAAUUGAAAAUGCAUCACAAAAAAUAAGUGUUUCGCAUUAGUGUUUGCACUCUUAAGCAUGGCAAAGUGGUGCAGGGUUCAUGAUUUUGAAGACAAUGAUAAGUGAAAAAUAGUUCAAUCCAUUGAUGAACAUAAAUUUAUUUACAUGUCAAUUUAGAUACCAUCAAAAAGUAAACAGUAAUUCACAGUCACUUAAAAUAGUUGAUAAAAUGCGUGCCAUGAAUGCAUUUUUGUACAUAAGAAAUCCAAAGAGUAUUUCUGACAAUACAAAUAUGCUAGCUUUAAGUCUGCUGUCAAUAUGCAAUUAAGAAGAUUAUACCAGCUGCAUGAUAAAGUUCCCCUAAUCUUAAUAACAAUAAACAUGAACAUGUCAGAUGCAAUUCUAGCUUCGACCAUUUGCAUAACCAGAAAUCCUAACCUGAACAAGCACCAGAAGUGCCUCUCGGACUUUCUCCUUGCUGAUAAAUGGUCCACUGUUCCAAGUAAGAGCAGGAGUAAGAGAUGGUGGAGGGAUUGGUGGUGGAAACGGUUGAAGCACUGGGGCACCAUAUGGGCGUUGUAGACUCAAGGGAGUAUUAAGUGGCAGAGCUGUUGGUGUAGAUGAAGAGACAGGCUGCAUCAUCCCCGCAGAGGAGGAUGGAGGAGGAACAAAGAAUAAGGAAGGCUUUACAAGGUUAGGGGUAGGUGCUGACAGAGGUGGAGAUGGUAUUGCAAGGUUGGCACGAUAGGAGAAGCAACACUGGCGGGAUGAGAAGGUAAAGAAAUAGUUGUAUUGGACUGGUAAGGUUGUGCAGAGAUUGCUGCAUUAGAAGUAUUCCCCACAGUCAAAGCUGUCUGCAAUGAUAAGGACAGAUGUCAUAUACAAGGACAUCAUAGAAGUUGAACCUCACACAAAAAUGAAGUGAUAACAUGUGAAAAUAGUAUAUGACUUGCUGCAUUUUUGUGGUAAUGUUGCAUACUUAUGUAGAAACAUAUUAUUUCAAAGAAAACAUACACUGAAGAAGUUCACAAAAGCAGGAUCUUCAGGAACAUCAACAGCAUUUGAGGGAGUUGACUCUAGAGGACCAUCCAUAACUGCCAUAGUUGGAACAGCUUCCAGUUCCUCAAACUCACUGCAGUUUAACAUAAAAGGAACUUGAUGACCAAUUUAAGUAAUAAUUAGAUGAUAUACGAGGUUAGGGAAAAUGAUGAGUGGACCCUUAUGGAAGGUGAUUUCACCUUAGCUAAACAGGAAAAUAAAAAGAAAUCAAAGCUGAAUCCUCGAGUGCAAUGCAAAGAAUUUUUUCUCUCUUCUCUAACUCCUCUUAUUCAAAAUUGCUCAUCAUUGUGCUGUUCUUCGAGAUUUCGCUAGAGUAGAGAAAGCUAUUCUCCCGUUAAGUGCAGAGGAAAGAGAAGGGCAAAGGCCUGGUAUGAUGCUAUUCUAUAAGAAGUGAGAAAGUGAAGGGCUAAAAUAUUUUGCAAUUUGGAGGUGGUGUUUUUCAGUGUGUGUGCUUCUGAAUUUAUUACCUCUUUAGGAUCCAUAGAAAUUGCCUCUUGUUCAGCAUGCACUGUGCCUACGAGUAAGGCGAGCUUGCAUGGUAUCUAUUGUCUAUUUAUUUGGAUAUUCAAACAGGACUACCAGCAACCAAACACAAAUCCCCAAACAAAACACUCUUUCAAGUGCAAGGAAAGAGUAACUUGGGCAUAUUUAUGGUUCAAGCACUACCAUAACUAAGAAUGUGAUGCUGUCCACAAACACUAUAUCAGUGCCUUUUGAACUACAUCACAUGCUCGAAGACUUUUUUUUUAGUCAUACAUAAAUUAGCUAUAAAAUUAAGACUAUUAUACAACUAAAAAGAAAGAAAAAUUGUUUGCUACUACAUAUCAAAACUGGUAAUAGCAAUGUAAGAUGGCAGACUUCUUACUUAAACAGAUGAGAGGCUGCAAAUAAAAAAUUUGUGCAAAUAAAAUAUAUGAUAAAGAGCAUAAUACUUUCUUGGGGGCUAAAAAUAAUAUACAACUUGUGAAAUAUAAAUUGAGCUACCAUU
Molecule: long non-coding RNA, 28798 nt
Filed under: Citrus x clementina
Lineage: Eukaryota; Viridiplantae; Streptophyta; Magnoliopsida; Sapindales; Rutaceae
Description: Citrus clementina (C. clementina) long non-coding RNA (CCLE_LNC001064)
Source: RNAcentral